RNAcentral lists this transfer RNA (71 nucleotides) under Stegodyphus mimosarum. It matches the Rfam family "tRNA". From Rfam's summary of the family: Transfer RNA (tRNA) molecules are approximately 80 nucleotides in length. Their secondary structure includes four short double-helical elements and three loops (D, anti-codon, and T loops). Further hydrogen bonds mediate the characteristic L-shaped molecular structure. tRNAs have two regions of fundamental functional importance: the anti-codon, which is responsible for specific mRNA codon recognition, and the 3' end, to which the tRNAs corresponding amino acid is attached (by aminoacyl-tRNA synthetases). tRNAs cope with the degeneracy of the genetic code in two manners: having more than one tRNA (with a specific anti-codon) for a particular amino acid; and 'wobble' base-pairing, i.e. permitting non-standard base-pairing at the 3rd anti-codon position. The record is from Rfam by way of RNAcentral. Lineage: Eukaryota; Metazoa; Arthropoda; Arachnida; Araneae; Eresidae.
GCCUUUGUGGUGUAAUGGUAGUACACUCGACGCUUAUUCGAGAGGUCCAGGUUCGAGUCCCAACAAGGGCA